CGUCAAAUCAUCAUGCCCCUUAUGACCUGGGCUACACACGUGCUACAAUGGAUGGUACAAAGGGUAGCGAAGCCGCGAGGUGGAGCCAAUCCCAUAAAGCCAUUCUCAGUUCGGAUUGUAGGCUGCAACUCGCCUACAUGAAGCCGGAAUCGCUAGUAAUCGCAGAUCAGCAUGCUGCGGUGAAUACGUUCCCGGGCCUU
Molecule: ribosomal RNA, 200 nt
Filed under: uncultured organism
Description: partial small subunit ribosomal RNA
Rfam family: Bacterial small subunit ribosomal RNA
Source: RNAcentral